UGGUCUUGACAUCCACGGAACUUUCCAGAGAUGGAUUGGUGCCUUCGGGAACCGUGAGACAGGUGCUGCAUGGCUGUCGUCAGCUCGUGUCGUGAGAUGUUGGGUUAAGUCCCGCAACGAGCGCAACCCUUGUCCUUAGUUGCCAGCACGUAAUGGUGGGAACUCUAAGGAGACCGCCGGUGACAAACCGGAGGAAGGUGGGGAUGACGUUUACCGACAGCU
RNAcentral lists this unclassified non-coding RNA (222 nucleotides) under uncultured Lysobacteraceae bacterium. RNAcentral describes it as "uncultured Xanthomonadaceae bacterium contains 16S-23S intergenic spacer region". It matches the Rfam family "Bacterial small subunit ribosomal RNA", at positions 976 to 1200 of the family's 1533-position model. Lineage: Bacteria; Pseudomonadati; Pseudomonadota; Gammaproteobacteria; Lysobacterales; Lysobacteraceae. The record is from RNAcentral.